RNAcentral lists this microRNA precursor (100 nucleotides) under Manduca sexta (tobacco hornworm). RNAcentral's name for it is "microRNA mse-mir-993 precursor". Its record names the gene mse-mir-993. The stretch from base 12 to 87 matches the Rfam family "mir-10 microRNA precursor family". From Rfam's summary of the family: In this case the mature sequence comes from the 5' arm of the precursor. The extents of the hairpin precursors are not generally known and are estimated based on hairpin prediction. The record is from miRBase by way of RNAcentral. Lineage: Eukaryota; Metazoa; Arthropoda; Insecta; Lepidoptera; Sphingidae.
GAUGGCACAUUCGUGAUCUACCCUGUAGAUCCGGGCUUUUGUAGUUUAGUUUCGCAUCAGAAGCUCGUCUCUACAGGUAUCUCACGGCUGGAAGACCUCG